CCCCAGCUGGUAGUGCUGUUUGGGGAGGUGAUAAGAUCUUUGAUACACAGGGCCCAGCUGGUGAAUAUAAGCCUCUCGGGCCCUGCAUUGUACCUAAAAUCUGUUCCCUGAUGUACUGAGAUGUGAACAAGCUGUGCUUCAAGUCUCGACCACCAUGGCCAAGCGGCUUCAGCUCCCAUGCUUUCCCCGCCGUGAUGGACUGUGUCUCCUGAACCGAGAGGCCGAGCAACCUUCUCCCAUGAGCUGCUUCUAUCAGGGACUUGAUCACAGUGAUAUAAAAGCGACUAAUACAGACAGCCAGGCCAGUUGGCAGCAAUGACAGCCAGAGAGCCAGGAGAAGUGUGCUGUGAUGCCUAACAGGGAGCAGACCCAAAGGUUGCAAAUGGUCAGGGAGCCCCAACCUGGCAGAGUUCAGGGAGGCCUAGCCGAGGGCACCAGGAAGAUGCCCAGGCUGCCGGUAACUCACCGCAAGGCAGGGAGGACUCCAGCACCCUCGGCCCAGUGCUCCUUACAACGAGUUUUCCAGUGGAAUACAGAUGAAGCCUGUUGGGAUGGACUCCAGACUCUCAGAGGUACCAUCCAGCUUUAAGUCUGCCCUGUGAUCCUUCUCCUUUGGAAGCAACCAGAACAAGCCCAUUGCCUUGCAACAACCCCUUCAAACCAGCUGCUCUUGGGAGCUCCUCCAAUGAUGCUGUUGUUUCCAGUUUACUGAUAUUUUAAGAACUCAUGUCAGAUGUUGGUCCUUAGUUUUCUUGGAACAUCUUUAUCUGGCUGUGGAGUCAAGAUAAAGCUGACCACCUAGAAUAAACUAAGUGAAGCCCUUCAUCUAUUCUUUAGGUGAGUUUGCAGUGAUGAACACCUUGGAAGAAAUUGGUGAGUAUGGAGGCUGGCAAGAUGGCUCAGCAGGUAAAGCCCUUGCUGCCACGUCUGAUUAUUGAAUUUCAUCUCCAGGACCCCUUUGGCAAAAGGAAAGAACACCCGCAGUUUUUCAGAUCUAUGUAAACUCUCAAAAUAUUCUCAGUCUGCAAACUCUGGACCGAAAUGUAACUUGAAUCCAACUGCAAAAAAAUCACUCAGUGAGCAUUUCCUGCAGUCAAACUAAGUAACCAGCUUUAAUGAAGCAAGCUGCCAUGUUGAAGAGGCUCCAACAGCCAGGAACUAAAGCCUUCGGUUUAACAAACCUUAAAGAAUUGAAUCCUUCCCUCAAACCUUGGAAGUGGCCUUGGAAAUGGACUACUCUCCAUGUGUAUUUUCAGAUGAGAGCCUCCACCCCAACCCUUUCCCAAAACCUCAGUCACAGUCUUGUCCUGAAUCAGAAGAUCUAGCUGACCAUGGCUGAAUUUCUAACUCAGACAAACUGUGAAAUGAAUAAUAAAUGUGUGUUA
Molecule: non-coding RNA, 1385 nt
Organism: Peromyscus maniculatus bairdii (prairie deer mouse)
Lineage: Eukaryota; Metazoa; Chordata; Mammalia; Rodentia; Cricetidae
Source: RefSeq, a predicted model, not a curated record